GGCAGAGGAAGCCCGGUUCCCGUGGGCGCGGCGACGCCGCGCCCAUGAGGAAAGUCCCCCCACCCUCCGGGCAGGUGACCGGACGCAAGUCCGGGGCGGGAGACCGCCGGCGCUGGAACAGAAACGGAACCCCCCGCCCCGACCGAUGAGGCGCGUUCGGCCGUGCAAACGGCCGACGGCGUUCGCGGGAUCGCCCGCGAACGCGCGAACCGACCCGCAAGGGAAGGGAGUUAACCCGCCGAGGGCCGGGCGGUCGUCACCGACGGCCGCCACGCGCGAACGGCGUGAGCCGCGAGCCGACGGGCGGGAACGGAUGGAACGGCGAAUCCUCACCGGUGCAAGUCCGCCGCAAUUGGUAGCCCGGAGGCGCGGCGGACGCUCAGCCGAAUGCCGGGCCGAACAGAAGGGGGCUUACUCUCCUCAGCC
This 426-nucleotide RNase P RNA is filed under the name Natronomonas moolapensis 8.8.11. Its description in RNAcentral is "Archaeal RNase P". It matches the Rfam family "Archaeal RNase P". From Rfam's summary of the family: Ribonuclease P (RNase P) is a ubiquitous endoribonuclease, found in archaea, bacteria and eukarya as well as chloroplasts and mitochondria. Lineage: Archaea; Methanobacteriati; Methanobacteriota; Halobacteria; Halobacteriales; Natronomonadaceae. The record is from Rfam by way of RNAcentral.